This 440-nucleotide ribosomal RNA is filed under the name uncultured bacterium. RNAcentral describes it as "partial 16S ribosomal RNA". It matches the Rfam family "Bacterial small subunit ribosomal RNA", at positions 338 to 795 of the family's 1533-position model. The record is from RNAcentral.
CCUACGGGGGGCAGCAGUAGGGAAUAUUGCUCAAUGGGGGAAACCCUGAAGCAGCAACGCCGCGUGGAGGAUGAAGGUUUUCGGAUUGUAAACUCCUUUUGUUAGAGAAGAUAAUGACGGUAUCUAACGAAUAAGCACCGGCUAACUCCGUGCCAGCAGCCGCGGUAAUACGGAGGGUGCAAGCGUUACUCGGAAUCACUGGGCGGAAAGAGCGCGUAGGCGGGAUAGUAAGUCAGAUGUGAAAUCCUAUGGCUUAACCAUAGAACUGCAUUUGAAACUGUUAUUCUAGAGUAUGGGAGAGGUAAGUGGAAUUCUUGGUGUAGGGGUAAAAUCCGUAGAGAUCAAGAGGAAUACUCAUUGCGAAGGCGACCUGCUAGAACAUAACUGACGCUGAUGCGCGAAAGCGUGGGGAGCAAACAGGAUUAGAUACCCGGGUAGUC